AGCGAACGCUGGCGGCAGGCCUAACACAUGCAAGUCGAACGAACCUUUCGGGGUUAGUGGCGGACGGGUGAGUAACACGUGGGAACGUGCCUUUAGGUUCGGAAUAACUCAGGGAAACUUGUGCUAAUACCGAAUGUGCCCUUCGGGGGAAAGAUUUAUCGCCUUUAGAGCGGCCCGCGUCUGAUUAGCUAGUUGGUUGAGGUAAUGGCUCACCAAGGCGACGAUCAGUAGCUGGUCUGAGAGGAUGAUCAGCCACAUUGGGACUGAGACACGGCCCAAACUCCUACGGGAGGCAGCAGUGGGGAAUCUUGCGCAAUGGGCGAAAGCCUGACGCAGCCACGCCGCGUGAAUGAUGAAGGUCUUAGGAUUGUAAAAUUCUUUCACCGGGGACGAUAAUGACGGUACCCGGAGAAGAAGCCCCGGCUAACUUCGUG
RNAcentral lists this ribosomal RNA (434 nucleotides) under uncultured bacterium. Its description in RNAcentral is "partial 16S ribosomal RNA". It matches the Rfam family "Bacterial small subunit ribosomal RNA", at positions 29 to 507 of the family's 1533-position model. The record is from RNAcentral.